Molecule: ribosomal RNA, 330 nt
Filed under: uncultured bacterium
Lineage: Bacteria
Description: bacterial SSU rRNA
Rfam family: Bacterial small subunit ribosomal RNA
Source: RNAcentral
CACGUAGGCGGCUUGUUAAGUCAGGGGUGAAAUCCUGGAGCUCAACUCCAGAACUGCCCUUGAUACUGGCGAGCUUGAGUUCGGGAGAGGUUGGUGGAACUGCGAGUGUAGAGGUGAAAUUCGUAGAUAUUCGCAAGAACACCAGUGGCGAAGGCGGCCAACUGGCCCGAUACUGACGCUGAGGUGCGAAAGCGUGGGGAGCAAACAGGAUUGGAUACCCUGGUAGUCCACGCCGUAAACGAUGGAUGCUAGCCGUUGGCGGGUUUACUCGUCAGUGGCGCAGCUAACGCUUUAAGCAUCCCGCCUGGGGAGUACGGUCGCAAGAUUAAA